UACGGGGGGAGCAAGCGUUGUUCGGAUUUAUUGGGCGUAAAGAGCUCGUAGGCGGCUCGGUAAGUCAGGUGUGAAAACUCUAGGCUCAACCUAGAGACGCCACCUGAUACUGCUGUGGCUAGAGUCCGGUAGGGGAGCAUGGAAUUCCUGGUGUAGCGGUGAAAUGCGCAGAUAUCAGGAGGAACACCAGUGGCGAAGGCGGUGCUCUGGGCCGGAACUGACGCUGAGGAGCGAAAGCGUGGGGAGCAAACAGG
Molecule: ribosomal RNA, 254 nt
Filed under: uncultured bacterium
Lineage: Bacteria
Description: partial 16S ribosomal RNA
Rfam family: Bacterial small subunit ribosomal RNA
Source: RNAcentral